AAAUUGAAGAGUUUGAUCAUGGCUCAGAUUGAACGCUGGCGGCAGGCCUAACACAUGCAAGUCGAACGGUAACAGAAAGCAGCUUGCUGCUUUGCUGACGAGUGGCGGACGGGUGAGUAAUGUCUGGGAAACUGCCUGAUGGAGGGGGAUAACUACUGGAAACGGUAGCUAAUACCGCAUAACGUCGCAAGACCAAAGAGGGGGACCUUAGGGCCUCUUGCCAUCGGAUGUGCCCAGAUGGGAUUAGCUAGUAGGUGGGGUA
RNAcentral lists this ribosomal RNA (262 nucleotides) under Escherichia coli. RNAcentral describes it as "partial 16S ribosomal RNA". It matches the Rfam family "Bacterial small subunit ribosomal RNA", at positions 1 to 259 of the family's 1533-position model. The record is from RNAcentral. Lineage: Bacteria; Pseudomonadati; Pseudomonadota; Gammaproteobacteria; Enterobacterales; Enterobacteriaceae.